This 301-nucleotide ribosomal RNA is filed under the name uncultured bacterium. RNAcentral describes it as "partial 16S ribosomal RNA". It matches the Rfam family "Bacterial small subunit ribosomal RNA", at positions 509 to 807 of the family's 1533-position model. The record is from RNAcentral.
CAGUAGCCGCGGUAAUACGAAGGGGGCUAGCGUUGUUCGGAAUUACUGGGCGUAAAGCGCACGUAGGCGGACAUUUAAGUCAGGGGUGAAAUCCCGGGGCUCAACCCCGGAACUGCCUUUGAUACUGGGCGACUUGAGUGUGGAAGAGGUCAGUGGAAUUGCGAGUGUAGAGGUGAAAUUCGUAGAUAUUCGCAGGAACACCAGUGGCGAAGGCGGCUGACUGGUCCACAACUGACGCUGAGGUGCGAAAGCGUGGGGAGCAAACAGGAUUAGAUACCCGAGUAGUCCCUGUCUCUUAUAC